AAGAGACAGCAGCAGCCGCGGUAAUACAGAGGGUGCAAGCGUUAAUCGGAAUUACUGGGCGUAAAGCGCGCGUAGGUGGUUUGUUAAGUUGGAUGUGAAAUCCCCGGGCUCAACCUGGGAACUGCAUCCAAAACUGGCAAGCUAGAGUAUGGUAGAGGGUGGUGGAAUUUCCUGUGUAGCGGUGAAAUGCGUAGAUAUAGGAAGGAACACCAGUGGCGAAGGCGACCACCUGGACUGAUACUGACACUGAGGUGCGAAAGCGUGGGGAGCAAACAGGAUUAGAUACCCCUGUAGUCCCUGUCUCUUAUAA
Molecule: ribosomal RNA, 310 nt
Filed under: uncultured bacterium
Lineage: Bacteria
Description: partial 16S ribosomal RNA
Rfam family: Bacterial small subunit ribosomal RNA
Source: RNAcentral